This 664-nucleotide unclassified non-coding RNA is filed under the name Hevea brasiliensis (rubber tree). Lineage: Eukaryota; Viridiplantae; Streptophyta; Magnoliopsida; Malpighiales; Euphorbiaceae. The record is from RNAcentral.
UAGAACUUAAAUAUUUUAAUUACUGAAGUACAUUUUUAGUGGUGAUGAAUACAAAAUAAACCGAUACAACACACUGAACCGGACUGAACCGUUAUUUCACAAAGACCUCUAAAGCCGAUUUAUUUUCCUGAUCAAUAACGUCAAGAAAAACCGGGUCUACGGUCACGUGACUAUCCACGUGCACCCGGAAUUUAUGGUCCCACCACAUCACCUUCGCAAAACCUUCUAUAUCCACCGUAGCAUCCAGCAACAUCUCCCUCUUCGCUACAUCGGCGACGAAUUCCUUCCCGUGAUGUGCAAGUUGAAGUCCGCUUAACCUCGCCGGAAGACGGAGUACCUGACAGGAACGCGGCGGCUGAGAUCCGGCUUUCACACGAGCUGAACCGAGGUGAUCGCCGGAGUAGAAAAUCGACAUUUCUGUUGAGGAGUAGUUGAUUGAAGUAACGUUAGGGUUAGUCACGUGAACGGUGAGGAUGAGUUCCGCGUCUACGACGGGGAAAUUGAGCUUGAAGGAAGUGAGAUCGAUGGAGAUGAGAUGAAAAUCAGGAUCCCGUGGCUUCGAAGAGAGUGUCAUCACCGUUGCUGCGGCAGCGGCGGCACCGACGAAGGCGGAGGUCCAGCUCCAUUUUACUCCUCUUCUACUUCCUUCUUUGCUCAUUGGUCG